RNAcentral lists this unclassified non-coding RNA (1225 nucleotides) under Melitaea cinxia (Glanville fritillary). RNAcentral's name for it is "misc RNA ENSMCXG00005017629.1". Lineage: Eukaryota; Metazoa; Arthropoda; Insecta; Lepidoptera; Nymphalidae. The record is from RNAcentral.
GUCUGAAUUAAAUUAUUAUUAUUAUAUUUACAUGUCUUCGAUCCAGAGAAUAACGACAAUGGUGCUGAAGGCUGGUGUCGGAGCAUAGAAAAACUUGGUGUUGAAUUCAAGUGUACCAGCAUCCACUAAGCUGCCACAGCAGGUGCCGAGGAACUAGUCGAGGUUUAACGAAGUUCUCUCACGGACUACGGAGAUAUCCCUAGUUUAGUACCAAAAUAAGGUAACCAGGAUCUGAUGAUGGAAUCUCAGAGAAAUCGAGGGAAACUCAAAAAUCCACAUAACUUUUUACUGGGUGUACCGAUUUUGAUAAUUAUUAAUUUAAUCGAAAGCUGAUAUUUAUCAUGUGGUCACAUUUAAAUUUUAUCGAAAUCUGAUAACCACUUUCGGAGUAAUCUUUGAUAAUGCGUAUUUACUUGACUAUUUUUUUCAUCUACCUACGUUGUAUUACUUGUCAAUAUAACUGAAGUCUUUUUUUUUUCGUUUGUCUGCAAACACAAUUAUGUUAAAGAUAAUUGCGACAGUUAUUUGAUGAAUGGCAAACUAGGCAUCAUAUGGUAGCGACUGGUACUCCCCGGGGGAAUGGCCAAGUCGAACGGUACGUAGCUACAAUAACAAAUAUGAUAAGCGCUUCUUGUACCAAUGUGUCAGACUGGCCGAGCGUUCUGUGGGUUGUGGAAAGUAUAACUUUCCUUAAACACUACUGUACAGCAAUCGACCGGCUUUUCACCUAUUAGGUUGCUUAGUGGAAAAAAGUCUAACAUUCCGUGUAUACAAGCUCGAUUAGAUGAGGUAAUACAAGAUCAUAAUAUCAUUGACGUAACUGCUGAUCGUAGGCUACCACACCAACGUCUUAAUAUUGUUGCUGAUAAAUUUAAAGAUCGCUUUGACCAAGCACGUAGAGAUAACAUGGAUUUUAGUGUAGGAGAUAUUGUAUAUGUAAAUCAAGGCCAUAUAAGAUUAGGACUAUAUUAAAUAAUGACAGAUUCUCAUUGAAGGUUAUUGGAAAUUUAAGAAACAUUAUAGUUGCAAAAGAAAAAAAAAUCGCCUAUGGCCUGGAGAGUGGACUGGGCAAAACGCUGUUGUAGAAGAUUUAUUAUACAGUUCGGCCUAUCGCAGUGCACUGCUGGACAUAGGCCUCCCCAAGUUCGCGCCAGAUAUCCCGGUCUUCCGCUAUCCUCAUCCAGCCUACACCGGCAACCUUACGUAGAUCGUCGGUCCAACGGGC